GACUAAAAUAUGUCAAAUUUAAUAUAAAAACAAAGCAACAUGCGUAUUUAGGCCCUUUAAGUUAUGCCAAAUAAUAGUCACUUAAGUUAUUAAAGUAUUUCAGGGUCAAAUUAAGCCCUUUAACUUUUUAAAAAUUAUCAAAUAAGUCUUUCAAAAUUUUUAAAAUAGAUGAAAUAAACUCUUAGGGAUAAAUAAGCCAUUUAACUUUUAAAAAUUGAUAAAAAAAAUAAUAAACUAUAAUUUAUCUCUAAUAUAAAUUCAGCCAAGGUCGUGCACGAAAAUCU
This 284-nucleotide unclassified non-coding RNA is filed under the name Hevea brasiliensis (rubber tree). Lineage: Eukaryota; Viridiplantae; Streptophyta; Magnoliopsida; Malpighiales; Euphorbiaceae. The record is from RNAcentral.